Molecule: ribosomal RNA, 1386 nt
Filed under: uncultured bacterium
Lineage: Bacteria
Description: 16S ribosomal RNA
Rfam family: Bacterial small subunit ribosomal RNA
Source: RNAcentral
UUCGCCCUUAGAGUUUGAUCCUGGCUCAGGACGAACGCUGGCGGCGCGCCUAACACAUGCAAGUCGAACGAGAGAGAGGGAGCUUGCUUCCUCAAUCGAGUGGCGAACGGGUGAGUAACGCGUGAGGAACCUGCCUCAAAGAGGGGGACAACAGUUGGAAACGACUGCUAAUACCGCAUAAGCCCACGGGUCGGCAUCGACCAGAGGGAAAAGGAGCAAUCCGCUUUGAGAUGGCCUCGCGUCCGAUUAGCUAGUUGGUGAGGUAACGGCCCACCAAGGCAACGAUCGGUAGCCGGACUGAGAGGUUGAACGGCCACAUUGGGACUGAGACACGGCCCAGACUCCUACGGGAGGCAGCAGUGGGGAAUAUUGCACAAUGGGGGAAACCCUGAUGCAGCGACGCCGCGUGGAGGAAGAAGGUCUUCGGAUUGUAAACUCCUGUUGUUGAGGAAGAUAAUGACGGUACUCAACAAGGAAGUGACGGCUAACUACGUGCCAGCAGCCGCGGUAAAACGUAGGUCACAAGCGUUGUCCGGAAUUACUGGGUGUAAAGGGAGCGCAGGCGGGAAGACAAGUUGGAAGUGAAAUCCAUGGGCUCAACCCAUGAACUGCUUUCAAAACUGUUUUUCUUGAGUAGUGCAGAGGUAGGCGGAAUUCCCGGUGUAGCGGUGGAAUGCGUAGAUAUCGGGAGGAACACCAGUGGCGAAGGCGGCCUACUGGGCACCAACUGACGCUGAGGCUCGAAAGUGUGGGUAGCAAACAGGAUUAGAUACCCUGGUAGUCCACACUGUAAACGAUGAUUACUAGGUGUUGGAGGAUUGACCCCUUCAGUGCCGCAGUUAACACAAUAAGUAAUCCACCUGGGGAGUACGACCGCAAGGUUGAAACUCAAAGGAAUUGACGGGGGCCCGCACAAGCAGUGGAGUAUGUGGUUUAAUUCGACGCAACGCGAAGAACCUUACCAAGGCUUGACAUCUACUUAAAGUCAUGGAAACAUGAUGUCUCUUCGGAGGAAGUAAGACAGGUGGUGCAUGGUUGUCGUCAGCUCGUGUCGUGAGAUGUUGGGUUAAGUCCCGCAACGAGCGCAACCCCUGUUGCCAGUUACCAGCACGUAAAGGUGGGGACUCUGGUAAGACUGCCGGGGACAACUCGGAGGAAGGUGGGGACGACGUCAAAUCAUCAUGCCCCUUAUGUCUUGGGCUACACACGUGCUACAAUGGCUGUAACAAAGAGAAGCAAGACCGCGAGGUGGAGCAAAACUCAGAAACAACGUCCCAGUUCGGACUGCAGGCUGCAACUCGCCUGCACGAAGUCGGAAUUGCUAGUAAUCGUGGAUCAGCAUGCCACGGUGAAUACGUUCCCGGGCCUUGUACACACCGCCCGUCA